Molecule: non-coding RNA, 105 nt
Organism: Acanthosepion pharaonis
Lineage: Eukaryota; Metazoa; Mollusca; Cephalopoda; Sepiida; Sepiidae
Source: the annotation of a GenBank genome assembly
UACGGUCAUAUCAUGUUGAAAUACCUGUUCCUGUCUGAUCACCGAAGUUAAACAACGUCAAGCCUGGUCAGAUGGGUGACCCCUUUGGAAUACCAGGUGCUGUAA